This 411-nucleotide ribosomal RNA is filed under the name uncultured bacterium. RNAcentral's name for it is "bacterial SSU rRNA". It matches the Rfam family "Bacterial small subunit ribosomal RNA", at positions 355 to 781 of the family's 1533-position model. The record is from RNAcentral.
UGGGGAAUCUUGGACAAUGGGGGCAACCCUGAUCCAGCCAUGCCGCGUGAGUGAUGAAGGCCUUAGGGUCGUAAAGCUCUUUCGCCUGUGAAGAUAAUGACGGUAGCAGGUAAAGAAACCCCGGCUAACUCCGUGCCAGCAGCCGCGGUAAUACGGAGGGGGUUAGCGUUGUUCGGAAUUACUGGGCGUAAAGCGCACGUAGGCGGACCAGAAAGUUGGGGGGUGAAAUCCCGGGGGCUCAACCCCGGAACUGCCUCCAAAACUAUUGGUCUAGAGUUCGAGAGAGGUGAGUGGAAUUCCAAGUGUAGAGGUGAAAUUCGUAGAUAUUUGGAGGAACACCAGUGGCGAAGGCGGCUCACUGGCUCGAUACUGACGCUGAGGUGCGAAAGUGUGGGGAGCAAACAGGAUUAG